Molecule: ribosomal RNA, 384 nt
Filed under: uncultured eukaryote
Lineage: Eukaryota
Description: SSU rRNA
Rfam family: Eukaryotic small subunit ribosomal RNA
Source: RNAcentral
AGCUCCAAUAGCGUAUAUUAAAGUUGUUGCGGUUAAAAAGCUCGUAGUUGGAUCUCGGCGGGCAGGGGGCGGUUCGUUGUCUGACGUUACUGCCCCAUUUGCUCGUGUUUUUGACGGAGGUUUGAGGGUUCUCUUCAUCGGGUGUCCUCAGGCGCCGUCAGGUUUACUUUGAAAAAAUUAGAGUGCUCAAAGCAGGCUUCAUCGCUUGAAUAUUCGUGCAUGGAAUAAUGGAAUAGGAAGUCGUUUCUAUUUUGUUGGUUUUCGGAAAUUGACUUAAUGAUUAAUAGGGACAGCCGGGGGCAUUAGUAUUCAGACGACAGAGGUGAAAUUCUUGGACCGUCUGAAGACUAACUACUGCGAAAGCAUUUGCCAAGAGUGUUUUCA